Molecule: long non-coding RNA, 4776 nt
Organism: Caretta caretta (loggerhead turtle)
Lineage: Eukaryota; Metazoa; Chordata; Testudines; Cheloniidae
Source: RefSeq, a predicted model, not a curated record
GGGGGCUGCGAGGUUGCGCCUCGCUCCCGGGGCUGCCAGUGCCGGGGGCGUUGCCGGCAAGGGGCGCAGGGCUGGGCGGCAGCGGGGGCACUCGGCGGGGAGCCCCCUAUUCGCCGGCCGGGCAGGAAACUGUCUUCUUCAAACAUUUUCACUAAUUUUCUGAAGUGUAUGUGAGCCAAAUUGCUGAUCUUCACCAAAAGCUAACCAACUAAAAUCACCACAUUGAGCAAGAUCAACUGGAGAUGCCAAAGCCUCAAAAUGGGAGCAAGAAAUGAUGACCAGACCUUCUGCCAUAUCAGACUCCAUACCUGAGAAAUGGAUGCACAACAUUACAGGAAAUACCAAUCCCACCACCUAAUGCACAAACAAUAAAAGACCAUAUGAAGCAGAUCAGUUUCCUCCCAAAUAGAAAACUGUGGGAGGGAGCCAAAGGACAGAAACAUCUUGGAGGGAUCAUCUUGCAGAGUUGCCUUCAGUCAUUGAAGAGGGAGAAAUUUGUGCCCCCAGUCUCCAUAAAGUUCCACACCCAAAACACACAAAUCCCAAGGAAUCUACAUGAAUCAAAGACUAUUUGCUGGACCCCCUGGCAACCUUCCUUACUCUCUGGAAGCAAAAUUUCAGUGAAUCUGUGUAACUGGGACUUCUCCCUGCUGCAGGUCUCCUUAAAGGGAUUUUACCCAGUGUGGAGAGGGACUACAGAAAAGAUAAUAUAACUUUGGGAAGUUUUGUCUUUUUUGAGUAAUCUCUAUGGGGAUAAUAGGUGCUGAAGCCCUGUCUGGAUGCGAUGAAUGCAUCAUUCAGGAUGACCAUACAUGCAUCAGAGAAGUAGGGGCACAUUGUUUUGGUCAACUGAAGACAGAAAAAGAGUAUUUCUAGCCACUGCAAUUACCUUGGUUCGAAGUGUUGCAAUGAAUGCCCGAGGCUAUUCCCUUGAUUAUCAGAAAGUGGAUGUCUUCAAAAGAAGAUGAAACUAUAAUUCCCACCAAUUCCUCAAAAUAUUUUCCCCUUCAUUUAACCAUCAACAUUCAUCUUCAGAUACAGCUUGAUCUAACUGGUUUUCAUCAAGACUCCAGUUUCUCUCAAACCCUAGGAUAACUGUGAGGCAGCAGGGAAGAAGAACUAUAGAGCUGAAUAUGCUACCACUUCAGUUCUGUUCUUGCUGUCGGUAUUGUAUUGGAUCACUUGUAAAUCUUGGGCAUGUUACAACUUUUCUGUGCCUCAUUCCAUCCAUUUUUUUCAAAUAUGUGUAAUGCAAAUUUUACAGGGGUUGUGUGUGGCUGGAUUGUUUGUGAAACUUCACCACCACCAAGUGUAAAGCACUGUGUUGCACAAACAGGAAAUUCAAGCACUAAUACCUGCAAAAGAGUUGUGAACCCAAACUUCCUCCUUUGUGUUUAUAUUUCUGAAGAAUUCUAGUCAAAAAGAAAAGUAUCAUUUACUUCUAAAUCUCUCUGCAGGGGUAAUGACUUAUUUACCUUUUGUUGACUAUAGUGUGUCAGUGUGAGAUUAUCCUAGCCAGUAUAAUUAGUGUCUAAAAAGGUGCUGUGCAUAUGCACAUUGCACAUGAAUAUAUAAAGCAAUUAUAGGUUUCAGUAAAAACAAAAGCCCUCAUACAAUGAGAUAUUUCUAAUGAAAAUAUUAGAUAAGAUGCAUCUCCUCAGGUACAGUCUCAAGAUGGCACUUAGGGAAUUAAGCACGGAAGUCCUGUUAUUUUCAAUAAGCUGCAAGCACAAAUCAUUUCAUGGCAUAUUGAACUUGUUUUGUACCUUCCUGAUCUGUGUAGAAAUGAUGGAUAAGCUUGGCUAUGUACCUCAGUUUGUUUAGACAGCUAAGGGAAUUCAAGAAGAGUGGCUAGUGAUUCUAUGGAGUCCCUAUUUGGAAGCUACGUUUCUUAUUGGGCGUUGAGGGGAGAACACAAGCAGCACCCAGAGAAGACAGUUAAAAUAAAGCUCAAUGAGUCUUUGCUUGACUUGGAUUCCAGAACCUCAUUACUGGUGUAUAUUGUCACCACCAGCCAACAUUGUGCGUGUUCUUGUCCUGAAAGGUGUGGAACAACCGAUCCUCUUUCAGAAUCACUUACCAAAAGCCAAUGGCUGAGUGACUGGUACUCAGAACAACUCAUUUCUCCAGCCUUUUUCUUUAAUCACUAAAUCCCCAAAUUGAUACUCAAGUCUUCUCCAAAGGGUAGAAACUGUGAAUAGCACGCGAAAGAAGAUACAGGAAAUUGAGAGGGAAAUGAGGUGUAGGGAGAGAUGAAAGAAGUUGGUGUCAGUGAAUAAGAUUUAGAGAGAAGGGAGCUGGUUGAUAGCCUGAUCUCUCAGGUAAAGGAGUAAUAAGAAGAGACAGAAGAAAAGUUAAGCAGGGAGACUGCAAGAGGAGGAAAAAAAGUGAAGAACAUUCAUUGGUGCUUAUGAGAGGGCUGCCAAAAAUUUAGGGCUAGAUUGUGCCCUGUCCUGCCAUGGCCACACAAAGGCAUAAGAGGGAGUAAGGAAUAUUCUUCCAUGUAAUUCACUUAAGGGAUGGUCACAACUGCAACCCUUGACAACUUAGAUUGCCAAUUCUUUGAGGCAUGGACCUUCUCUUCCUAUGUGAUUAUACAGGGUGCAGCACAGUAAAGGAACCUGACUGAGGCCUCUGAAUACCACUGUAGCAUAAAUAAUAUAUAAAUCAAUAGUAAUAACAGUGCAUGCUCACACACACACACACACACACCUUCUGAUCUGACAUAAUCUCAAGGGCCUCGGCGAGACAGUUCAUCUUAAAAAAAAUUAACUACCACAAAUACCAAAGAAUAAAUAAAAAUUUAGCUAAUUUAUCAUUUUUUUAAAAAAGGAUAUGGGAAUCUGAUGCAGAAGCUGUCAGUGACUAAAGAUCAACCACAUCUCAAAACAAGGCUUUUCAAAAUGGGGAGUGUUAAAAUGUUGCAGGUAUGGGGGAGUGUGUGAGGGUAAUUAGAAUAAGCUCCAUACCUUAGGUGCCACUUCCACUAAAGCUCAAUCAUCUUUCAAGCUGAACCACAAUAGUGGAACUCCUUGGGACAGGUGGUGUCAUUUUUCAUAAUACAAUAAAUGCAUUUAUGUAUUUGGACUGACUAGUUAAAUUGUGAGUACAUUCAUGAUGUUUUAGUGUAAGUAUUGAAGCUAAGGAUUUUGUUUUAUUUAUUUAUUGGUGUAAUCCUGCAUUCAAUACUAUUUCAUAGCUCAGAUGCUCUAACUUUAAUUUUCUUGUCUGUUAUUGUUAAACCAUGCUGGCAAGGCUAAUUCCCUGCUCUGGCACUUCGAGUACAGCAGUUGGGGGCCUGCAAGGAUUCUAAAAAUUAAUACUGGCCACUCCAGGCUUGUAUUAAAUUCCCAAGGUUGCAGCUUUUCUCUGACCUUGGAUUGGUAGAUGCUGCCACCACCCAAGUGCAGAACCCUUUUGAGAGGCUAGGAAGGCGCACUUGGGAAUUCCUUCCUGUGUGGUACCCUCAAGCCCUUUCAUCCCCCCUCCAGGGAAGAGCUGAGAAAGGAAAAAAAAAAGAAAUCAGUUAUUGACACCAGCUAAUUAAACAACGUGCACAAACCUCUUAAGACACAAAAAUCCAAUUCUGUUCUUUAAAAAGAUAAAUUUUAUUUUUAAAAAAGGAAUAAAAUGCAUCUGGGAACUCAGGCUAUUGCUAGAUUUUAAAAAGAGCAACUACAAGGAUUAAGCACCAAGAAUAGCUUUCUUGAGGUCCAACUUAAAGAUUACAAGCAAAACAAAAGCACCUGGGGUUAGCACAAAGGAAUCCACAAACCAUAACGAAAUAAAAGGGAUAAACCUAAUCAUGUCUUCCUAGACAUUUCCUGAUCUACUUACAUAUCUGGGUUUUUCAAAUGAGUAGUUUCUAUGAUACUGUUGAUUUUCAUACCUGGCCCAAGCUUUUACAGCAAAGCUGCUGCCAUGUCUGUCUCUCCCCCAGAGAGGGACAGACAGACAGACAAAAAGGGAGACACUUCAAUUUUAAAAAUUUCUAGCCUUCCCACUGGCUCUUUUGGCCAGGUGCCCACUCACUUCCUUUUACCUAUGCAUAGCACUGAGACUUUUGAAUCCUUUACAGGUAGAGCAAUUAGAUAACAGCUACUAAGAGGGAUUUUAUAGAUACUGGCUGGCUGGGUGUCCAUAAAAGGGAGCUACCCCCACCGCUUCUUUAUCACACAUGCUGUUUCUCUCUUCUAUAUUUGAGUAUAAAAAGUUCAUUCCUUACGACAGGUCUACUGAUGAAAACCUGCAUAGAAAAUGAGAGAAGGGCAAGAAUGGAAAUGCUCAAUCACGAGGUUAUUGAGAAGAGAAUAAAUUGGAAUUAACCAGAUAACAGAAUUCACCUAGUAUCCCAAAAUGAGUAUAUUAUGAGGGUACCAGUACUGUUAUUGCCCCACAGGAAAGACUGCUUGGAGAACCACCAGCUUCUUUGUUACCUUUAUUUGGUUACCACUGUACAAAUAUGAUACGGUGUAGGCAAUCAUUAGAAAGCUUGUUCUGAUCAAGACAGCCCAAAUGACAAGCACUGCAGGUUUUUGGAUUUUAUUUUGUUUUUAAAUGGGCUGAUGUGCGUUUAUAGAUACCUGAUCAUGCUAAUAAAUUUUGUAAUAGAUUUUCUAGUUAUGGGGAAAUUGCAUUACUAACAGGAGGGGAAAACUCUUUUUAUAACUGAUAGUGAAAUACAGUAAACUUUGUGAUGUGUGCAUGCAUGCACACUCUUUGUACUAAUGAAGGAAAAAGCUUUGUUUGUAUCCCUUAGAUCUUAUUUGCUUUCUA